Molecule: ribosomal RNA, 403 nt
Filed under: Bacteroidota bacterium
Lineage: Bacteria; Pseudomonadati; Bacteroidota
Description: Bacteroidetes bacterium partial 16S ribosomal RNA
Rfam family: Bacterial small subunit ribosomal RNA
Source: RNAcentral
UAGGGAAUCUUGCACAAUGGGGGAAACCCUGAUGCAGCGACGCCGCGUGAACGAAGAAGGUAUUCGUAUCGUAAAGUUCUGUCCUAUGGGAAGAUAAUGACAGUACCAUAGAAGAAAGCUCCGGCUAAAUACGUGCCAGCAGCCGCGGUAAUACGUAUGGAGCGAGCGUUGUCCGGAAUUAUUGGGCGUAAAGGGUACGCAGGCGGUUUAAUAAGUCGAAUGUUAAAGAUCGGGGCUCAACCCCGUAAAGCAUUGGAAACUGAUAAACUUGAGUAGUGGAGAGGAAAGUGGAAUUCCUAGUGUAGUGGUGAAAUACGUAGAUAUUAGGAGGAAUACCAGUAGCGAAGGCGACUUUCUGGACACAAACUGACGCUGAGGUACGAAAGCGUGGGGAGCAAACAGG